This 253-nucleotide ribosomal RNA is filed under the name uncultured bacterium. RNAcentral describes it as "partial 16S ribosomal RNA". It matches the Rfam family "Bacterial small subunit ribosomal RNA", at positions 524 to 776 of the family's 1533-position model. The record is from RNAcentral.
UACGAAGGGGGCUAGCGUUGUUCGGAAUAACUGGGCGUAAAGAGCUCGUAGGCGGAUUUGCAAGUCAGGGGUGAAAUCCCGGGGCUUAACCUCGGAACUGCCUUUGAAACUGCAAAUCUGGAAUCGCAGAGGGGAUAGCCGAAUUCCUAAUGUAGGGGUGAAAUCCGUAGAUAUUAGGAGGAACACCGGUGGCGAAGGCGGCUAUCUGGAUGAGUAUUGACGCUGAGGCGCGAAAGCGUGGGGAGCAAACAGG